This 1812-nucleotide ribosomal RNA is filed under the name human metagenome. RNAcentral's name for it is "bacterial LSU rRNA". It matches the Rfam family "Bacterial large subunit ribosomal RNA", at positions 171 to 1977 of the family's 2925-position model. The record is from RNAcentral.
GUAAGAGAGCUAACGCAGGGAACUGAAACAUCUUAGUACCUGCAGGAAGAGAAAAUAAAUGAAUGAUUCCCCCAGUAGUGGCGAGCGAACGGGGAACAGCCCAAACCGUUGACGUCGCAAGGCGCCAGCGGGGUUGUAGGACCGCGACAUUGUACUGAAAUGGUGAGUGGAAGUAUCUGGAAAGUUACAUCACAGAAGGUGAUAAUCCUGUACACGAAGCCAAAUCAAGCAUAGCGGUAUCCUGAGUAACGCGGGACACGAGGAAUCCUGCGCGAAUCUGCCGGGACCAUCCGGUAAGGCUAAAUACUCCCGUGAGACCGAUAGCGAACGAGUACUGUGAAGGAAAGGUGAAAAGAACCCCGAGCAGGGGAGUGAAAUAGUUCCUGAAACCAUACGCCUACAAGCGGUCGGAGCACAGCAAUGUGUGACGGCGUGCCUUUUGCAUAAUGAUCCUACGAGUUACCGUCACUGGCGAGGUUGAGUGUCACGAGACACGUAGCCGCAGUGAAAGCGAGCCUGAAGAGGGCGCACAGUCAGUGGGGGUAGACGCGAAACCAAGUGAUCUACACUUGGCCAGGAUGAAGUCCCGGUAACACGGGAUGGAGGUCCGCACCAAUAAGCGUUGAAAAGCUUCUGGAUGAGCCGAGUGUAGGAGUGAAAGGCCAAUCAAACUUGGAGAUAGCUCGUACUCCCCGAAAGGCAUUUAGGUGCCGCGUCGGAUGGUCACCGUGAGAGGUAGAGCGACCGAUAGGACAAGAGGGCUUCACCGCCUAUCGAGUCCUGACGAACUCCGAAUGCUCACGGUCUGCAGUCCGGCAGUAAGGGGGCGGGGGCUAAGGUCCGUCCCCGAGAGGAGAAGAAUCCAGACCGCCGUCUAAGGUCCCGGAGUUCUGCCUGAGUUAGUCUAACGAAGUCUGGUCCCUAUGACAGCUAGGAUGUUGGCUUGGAAGCAGCCAUUCAUUCAAAGAGUGCGUAACAGCUCACUAGUCGAGGGUCCGGGCAUGGAUAAUAAUCGGGUAUAAGGCAGACACCGAAGGCGCGGGAUAGCAUUUAAGAAAGUAUCGGUAGGGGAGCAUACUCACAGCGUCGAAUGGUGUACGUAAGUUAUCCUGGAGCGGUGAGUAAAGCAAAUGUAGGAAUAAGUAACGAUAAGGAGGGUUAGAUUCCCUCCCGCUGUAAGACCAAGGUUUCCCGGGCAAUGCCAAUCAGCCCGGGGUCAGUCGGGUCCUAAGUCUAAGCCGAACGGCGAUGGCGAUGGCAGAGACGGUUAAUAUUCCGUCACUGCCGCAUGGGGCGACGUGGAGACGGAGCAGUGAAACCACCGCGGGGCGACGGAAGUCCCCGUUGAAGAGUGUAGGCGUUGAGGAUGGCAGGCAAAUCCACCAUCCGAGCUGAACUUGACAGUACGGAGUCCUCCUCGGAGGAAUCUGAUAGUGUGGGUAAUCAUACUCCCGAGAAAAUCCGCUAAGCUUAACCCAUGCGGCACCCGUACCGCAAACGGACACACGUGGUCGGGUAGAACAUACUAAGGCGUUGAGAGAUUCAUGGUUAAGGAACUAGGCAAAUUGACCCUGUAACUUCGGGAUAAAGGGUCCUCGUGAUGAGCGAGGCGCAGAGAAUAGGUCCAGGCAACUGUUUAACAAAAACACAGGGCUGUGCAAAUUUGAAAGAAGAAGUAUACAGCCUGACACCUGCCCGGUGCCGGAAGGUUAAGAGGAGAGCUCAUCAGCGAUGAGAAGGUUUGAAUUGAAGCCCCGGUAAACGGCGGCCGUAACUAUAACGGUCCUAAGGUAGCGAAAUUCCUUGUCGGGU